This 520-nucleotide ribosomal RNA is filed under the name uncultured Glomus. Its description in RNAcentral is "SSU rRNA". It matches the Rfam family "Eukaryotic small subunit ribosomal RNA", at positions 569 to 1095 of the family's 1831-position model. The record is from RNAcentral. Lineage: Eukaryota; Fungi; Glomeromycota; Glomeromycetes; Glomerales; Glomeraceae.
AGCAGCCGCGGUAAUUCCAGCUCCAAUAGCGUAUAUUAAAGUUGUUGCAGUUAAAAGCUCGUAGUUGAAUUUCGGGAUCAAUAUGUUGGUCGUGCCUUGGUACGUACUGGCAUUAUUGGUUCCUACCUUCUGAAGAACCUCGAUGUCAUUAAUUUGGUGUCUUGGGGAAUCAGGACCGUUACUUUGAAAAAUUAGAGUGUUUAAAGCAGGCCCGCGCUUGAAUACAUUAGCAUGGAAUAAUGAAAUAGGACGUUUGACUCUAUUUUGUUGGUUUCUAGGAUCGACGUAAUGAUUAAUAGGGAUAGUUGGGGGCAUUAGUAUUCAAUUGUCAGAGGUGAAAUUCUUGGAUUUAUUGAAGACUAACUACUGCGAAAGCAUUUGCCAAGGAUGUUUUCAUUAAUCAAGAACGAAAGUUAGGGGAUCGAAGACGAUCAGAUACCGUCGUAGUCUUAACCAUAAACUAUGCCGACUAGGGAUCGGAUGAUGUAAUUUUUAAUGACUCAUUCGGCGCCUUACGGGA